Molecule: long non-coding RNA, 734 nt
Filed under: Helianthus annuus (common sunflower)
Lineage: Eukaryota; Viridiplantae; Streptophyta; Magnoliopsida; Asterales; Asteraceae
Description: hypothetical non coding rna
Source: RNAcentral
CAGUGUAUGUGUGUGGAGGUGCGAUCGAGAGAGAGACCAGGGAGAAACCCUUCUCCUCAAAACCUAGCAAGAAAUCAUCAAAUUGAAGGGCAAUAGGGCUGAAAUCUUAUGCAUGAGUUAAGAACUAAGAUCACCUAAGUGUUCUUGACAUCAAGCGUGAAGGAGGAAGGUACAAGCCUAACCGGUUCGCAAGCAACGCAAAACAAAGGUGAAUCUCACUCUUGAUAAUGGCGAGCUUGGAUCGAACACACCACAUCGCCCUUUAUGCGCUUCCGGUUUAGUCGUCUUUGUAAAUGGGUCAAAACACUUUCAUAAUGUAAAUGUUAAGUUUAUGUCUAAGAUGUUUCGUAAGUAAAUUAGGAUUUUAAAUCUUAUUUUUGGUAGUUCGGACAAAACACUUUUGAUGGAAUCUUGUAUGGUUACAACUUAUAUGUCUUUUGAAACGUGUCAUAGAAUUUUAGUUUGAAUGGUGAUUGUUAAAAGCAGGGAAUUGCAUAUAGUACGAACGGGUCAUGCCCAUUUUUUGUUAAAAAUUAGUAUGUGGUUACUAUUAUUUUCGAAUGUGAAAAAGUGGGCGUUACAAGUUGGUAUCAGAGCCGAGGUUUGAGGGAUUCGGGCACGGGAUAGGGUGCUCAGACUCAAACCGAAAGCUCAAGAUAUGGUGUGUGUUCGCUCCAAGACGCGGUUAAGGGAUGUGGAGUUUUGGUAUGGGUAUGCCUGGAAAUGGUAAUUGU